GGUUGUAGCUCAGAGGUAGAGCACUUGCUUCACAUGUAUAAGGCCCUGGGUUCGAUCCUCAGCACCA
This 67-nucleotide transfer RNA is filed under the name Marmota monax (woodchuck). RNAcentral describes it as "tRNA.Val". It matches the Rfam family "tRNA". Rfam says of the family: Transfer RNA (tRNA) molecules are approximately 80 nucleotides in length. Their secondary structure includes four short double-helical elements and three loops (D, anti-codon, and T loops). Further hydrogen bonds mediate the characteristic L-shaped molecular structure. tRNAs have two regions of fundamental functional importance: the anti-codon, which is responsible for specific mRNA codon recognition, and the 3' end, to which the tRNAs corresponding amino acid is attached (by aminoacyl-tRNA synthetases). tRNAs cope with the degeneracy of the genetic code in two manners: having more than one tRNA (with a specific anti-codon) for a particular amino acid; and 'wobble' base-pairing, i.e. permitting non-standard base-pairing at the 3rd anti-codon position. Lineage: Eukaryota; Metazoa; Chordata; Mammalia; Rodentia; Sciuridae. The record is from RNAcentral.